AAUGCCGAACGGAUGCCAGUUUCUCCGGCGGUAUCCCUCGCAUCGAUGGCGCACGGUUCUCUUCCAAGCUGGGUGGGGCGUCCGGUAAAGGAACGUUUGGUAUGUCUUCAUUGAUUCUGAGGUUCCCACCCAACUUUGUUAGGCAGCUCAGCAAUAAGGCUCGGAGGAACUGUAGCAACAUCGGCGUUGCUCAGAUUGUUGCCGCUUCAUGGUCUAACAACCAGCCUCCUUCUUCGGCGGCGGGGGCUAAGGCCGUCGACGCCGCCGCCUCCUCCGCCGUCUCCACUCCAUUCGUCGUGGGUGAAGAUGUUGUUGAUAAUAAUGAUAUGGAUAUAGGUUCUUGUAAUGGUAGCCCUUUUGUACAGUUUCAGGCUUUGGAAAGUUUUCAUAAGCCUUCGUUUUUGAAAUCCG
This 411-nucleotide long non-coding RNA is filed under the name Lactuca sativa (garden lettuce). RNAcentral's name for it is "long non-coding RNA (LSAT_LNC004620)". The record is from RNAcentral. Lineage: Eukaryota; Viridiplantae; Streptophyta; Magnoliopsida; Asterales; Asteraceae.